AUUAGUAUAUCUUUGACAGGGGAUAUCAUGCGAAAGCAUAUUAGGAAUUAAAUUUCUUAGAGGGACAACUUUUAGAUAGUCCUCCCAGCGGUAUAUGAGUACUAACCGUACUUUUUAUUUCUGGAGGGAUUAAUGAAAGGGAAGCGUUCAGCAAUAACAGGUCUGUGAUGCCCUUAGACAUCUUGGGCCGCACGCGCGCUACAAUGGAAGAAGAAAAGAGUUUAGUCAAGGAAUUAUUUCAUUUGGUUCUGCCAAGUGGAGUGAUUUCUAAAAAAUGGACACAAGAAUUUUUGACUAGCCGAUAUUUAAAAACGGAGGAAAACUCAAAACUUUGGACAUGUUCUGGGAUAGAUGAUUGUAAUUAUUUGUCUUUAACCAGGAAUUCCUUGUAAUACCAUGUCAUUAGCAUGGGAUGAAUACGUCCCUGCCCUUUGUACACACCGCCCGUCGCUCCUACC
This 458-nucleotide ribosomal RNA is filed under the name Entamoeba invadens. RNAcentral's name for it is "partial small subunit ribosomal RNA". It matches the Rfam family "Eukaryotic small subunit ribosomal RNA", at positions 1358 to 1686 of the family's 1831-position model. The record is from RNAcentral. Lineage: Eukaryota; Evosea; Mastigamoebida; Endamoebidae.